This 712-nucleotide ribosomal RNA is filed under the name Streptomyces sp. CSA10. RNAcentral's name for it is "bacterial SSU rRNA". It matches the Rfam family "Bacterial small subunit ribosomal RNA", at positions 34 to 763 of the family's 1533-position model. Lineage: Bacteria; Bacillati; Actinomycetota; Actinomycetes; Kitasatosporales; Streptomycetaceae. The record is from RNAcentral.
AGCUGGCGGCGUGCUUACACAUGCAGUCGAACGAUGAAGCCGCUUCGGUGGUGGAUUAGUGGCGAACGGGUGAGUAACACGUGGGCAAUCUGCCCUUCACUCUGGGACAAGCCCUGGAAACGGGGUCUAAUACCGGAUAACACUCUGUCCCGCAUGGGACGGGGUUGAAAGCUCCGGCGGUGAAGGAUGAGCCCGCGGCCUAUCAGCUUGUUGGUGGGGUAAUGGCCUACCAAGGCGACGACGGGUAGCCGGCCUGAGAGGGCGACCGGCCACACUGGGACUGAGACACGGCCCAGACUCCUACGGGAGGCAGCAGUGGGGAAUAUUGCACAAUGGGCGAAAGCCUGAUGCAGCGACGCCGCGUGAGGGAUGACGGCCUUCGGGUUGUAAACCUCUUUCAGCAGGGAAGAAGCGAAAGUGACGGUACCUGCAGAAGAAGCGCCGGCUAACUACGUGCCAGCAGCCGCGGUAAUACGUAGGGCGCAAGCGUUGUCCGGAAUUAUUGGGCGUAAAGAGCUCGUAGGCGGCUUGUCACGUCGGAUGUGAAAGCCCGGGGCUUAACCCCGGGUCUGCAUUCGAUACGGGCUAGCUAGAGUGUGGUAGGGGAGAUCGGAAUUCCUGGUGUAGCGGUGAAAUGCGCAGAUAUCACGAGGAACACCGGUGGCGAAGGCGGAUCUCUGGGCCAUUACUGACGCUGAGGAGCGAAAGCGUG